RNAcentral lists this long non-coding RNA (549 nucleotides) under Junco hyemalis (dark-eyed junco). Its description in RNAcentral is "lncRNA (ENSJHYG00000017222.1)". The record is from RNAcentral. Lineage: Eukaryota; Metazoa; Chordata; Aves; Passeriformes; Passerellidae.
GAUGUGCACCUUCCUCAUUUCAACUUCAUGGUAUUGCUACUCAGGAAAUAAAACAGAGGGAAAUUUUGGCUGCGUAAACAGUAUUGAAAAUACCCAAGUGUUGAUUAAACACUUUUAAAAAUGCUAUCUCAGCUUGAAUAUAGAGCUCAGAAAAUGAGAAGCACUUCGUUAGAGGCCUCCAGUUUGAUACAAGAAACUCGCUACUCUGAAAUCCCUGAUAAAGUCAGAAGUGGUGUGUACCCAACAGGAUGCAUUUGCAGUAGCUUCCCAACAUCCCCUAUCCCUCCCUCCCCGCGAGGCAGCUGCUGGCUUUUGGUGGGGCCUGGGUGCCAGAAGAGGGAGCACGGAACACAGCAGAGCCCCAGCCUGAAUGUCCCUGCUGCUGCCUCAGCUUUGGGUCUGCUUGCCCCCAAACUUUGUGCUGCAUCCAAAGACCUAAAAUUUGGAGUCUGCAGGCCUUGGAGAUGGAGAGAAGUUGAGCAUAAAGAGAGCCUGCUGAGUAUUUUCAAGACUGAGAUUUGGAAAGAAGUUUCUCUCAUCCAUUUAUGA